RNAcentral lists this long non-coding RNA (879 nucleotides) under Zonotrichia albicollis (white-throated sparrow). RNAcentral describes it as "lncRNA (ENSZALG00000005935.1)". Lineage: Eukaryota; Metazoa; Chordata; Aves; Passeriformes; Passerellidae. The record is from RNAcentral.
CACUGAGAUGGGGCAGCCCAAACCCCACAGAACCCCUGAAUUGUUACACAGGGGUGACACACACUGGGAUUUGGGACAGCCCAGACCCCACAGAAUCCCUGGGAUUGUUACACAGAGGUGACAAACACUGAGAUGGGACAGCCCAAACCCCACAGAAUCCCUGAAUUGUUACACAGGGGUGACAAACACUGGAUUUGGGACAUCCCAAACCCCACAGAAUCCCUGGAUUGUCACACAGGGGUGACAAACACUGAGAUGGGACAGCCCAAACCCCACAGAAUCCUUGGAUUGUUACACAAGGGUGACCCACACUGGAUUUGGGACAUCCCAAACCCCACAGAAUCCCUGAAUUGUUACACAAGGGUGACAAACACUGGGCUGGCACAUCCCAGACCCCACAGAAUCCCUGGAAUCCCUGAAUUGUUACAAAAGGGUGACAAACACUGAGAUGGGACAGCCCAGACCCCACAGAAUCCCUGGAUUGUUACACAGGGGUGACAAACACUGAGAUGGGACAUCCCAGACCCCACAGAAUCCCUGGAAUCACUGAAUUGUUACACAAGGGUGACANCAGAGCCGUGCCAGGAGCGAGCCGUGCCAAUCGGGCACAGAGCAAACCCAACCGCAGCCCCGAAGGUUCGGAUCCCAAUUUCCCCAUUCCCGACAUCCCGAGGCAGCGCGGGGCGGUGCUGACCCCUAGCGAGGGAUGCCUGGGAAAAGGGAAAUUCCUGGGAUAAAUCUCCCGUCCCACCGCGCUCCAUUCCCUGCCCCUCCUGCCCAAGGCUCCUCGGGCACGGGCACAGAGCAGCUUCUGAGAAACUGGCACAAGAAAUCCCCGAUUUUGAGAUAUUUUCAAUAAAUGUGUCCCCAUGAGGAUCA